UGUGGGAGGGGGCUUGCCCCCGAUAACAGUGGUUCAGUCACAGUUGCAUUGACUGAUACACCGCCAUCGGGGGCAAGCCCCCUCCCACA
Molecule: unclassified non-coding RNA, 89 nt
Filed under: Pseudomonas libanensis
Lineage: Bacteria; Pseudomonadati; Pseudomonadota; Gammaproteobacteria; Pseudomonadales; Pseudomonadaceae
Source: RNAcentral